GUAGUCAUAUGCUUGUCUCAAAGAUUAAGCCAUGCAUGUCUAAGUACAUACCUUAGCACGGUGAAACCGCGAAUGGCUCAUUAAAUCAGUUAUGGUUCCUUAGAUCGUUCAUACUACAUGGAUAACUGUGGUAAUUCUAGAGCUAAUACAUGCAAAAAGCUCCGACCGUAUGGGAAGAGCGCUUUUAUUAGACCAAAACCAAUGAGGUCGCAAGAUCCCUUUGUAUGGUGACUCUGGAUAACUUUGUGCUGAUCGCAUGGCCUAGAGCCGGCGACGUAUCUUUCAAGUGUCUGCCCUAUCAACUUUCCAUGGUAAGCGAUUUGCCUACCAUGGUUGCAACGGGUAACGGGGAAU
This 354-nucleotide ribosomal RNA is filed under the name Rotifera environmental sample. RNAcentral's name for it is "SSU rRNA". It matches the Rfam family "Eukaryotic small subunit ribosomal RNA", at positions 20 to 370 of the family's 1831-position model. The record is from RNAcentral. Lineage: Eukaryota; Metazoa; Rotifera.